GACGAAGGGGGCUAGCGUUGUUCGGAAUUACUGGGCGUAAAGCGCGUGUAGGCGGUUGUUCAAGUCAGGUGUGAAAGCCUUGAGCUCAACUCAAGAAAUGCACUUGAUACUGGAUGACUAGAGGACCGGAGAGGAUAGUGGAAUUCCCAGUGUAGUGGUGAAAUACGUAGAGAUUGGGAAGAACACCAGUGGCGAAGGCGGCUAUCUGGACGGUUUCUGACGCUAAGGCGCGAAAGCGUGGGGAUCAAACAGG
This 253-nucleotide ribosomal RNA is filed under the name uncultured bacterium. RNAcentral's name for it is "partial 16S ribosomal RNA". It matches the Rfam family "Bacterial small subunit ribosomal RNA", at positions 524 to 776 of the family's 1533-position model. The record is from RNAcentral.